Non-coding RNA from Myotis myotis, 753 nucleotides. The record is from the annotation of a RefSeq genome assembly. Lineage: Eukaryota; Metazoa; Chordata; Mammalia; Chiroptera; Vespertilionidae.
CUCAGAAGGCAGCGCUCUCAGGGCACCUCCACCAUGGCCUGGGCUCUGCUCCUCCUCAGCCUCCUCUCUCAGGGCACAGGGUCCUGGGCCCAGGCUCCCCUCACUCAGCCGCCCUCAGUGUCUGGGACUCCAGGGACGUCAGUCACCAUCUCCUGUGCUGGGAGCAGCAAUGACAUUGGGAGGUAUAAUGAGGUCUCCUGGUACCAACAGCGCCCGGGCACGGCCCCUAAACUCCUGAUUUAUAGGGUCAGCACCCGGCCCUCGGGGAUCCCUGAGCGCUUCUCUGGCUCCAAGUCUGGCAACACGGCCACCCUGACCAUCUCUGGGCUGCAGGCCGAGGACGAGGCCGAUUAUCACUGCUGCUCAUAUGCAGGCAGUGGCACUCUCCACAGUGGUCCUGUGGCCUCUUCAGUAGUGACUCAGCCCCCAGCAGUGUCUGUGGCCCCGGGACAGAUGGCCCGGAUCACCUGCCAGGGAGAUCUCAUAGAAAAAGCUUAUCCUGUAUGGCUCCAGCAGAAGCCCGGCCAGGCCCCGGUGGUGGUCAUGUAUGAUAACAACAACCGACCCUCAGGGAUCCCUGAGCGAUUCUCUAGCUCUGACUCAGGGGACACCAACACCCUGAUCAUCAGCGGGGCCCAGGCCCAGGACGAGGCCGACUAUUACUGUGCGAGGGACCCCCUGGAGGAGGGUCUCCCGUCAGAGCGCUUCAGCGGCCCCAGAGAGCAAACCAGCGUCCAGCGGGCGGAGCACUGA